Melospiza melodia melodia is the source of this 1812-nucleotide long non-coding RNA. RefSeq lists it as uncharacterized. The transcript is spliced from 4 exons. Lineage: Eukaryota; Metazoa; Chordata; Aves; Passeriformes; Passerellidae. The record is from RefSeq and is a predicted model, not a curated record.
GGCAGCGCCGCGGUCACCGACAGCCCAGAAGGACCCCAAGGAGCAGCGGGCAUUGCCUGGAAUGGAGGCACGGACCGUUUGCAGAGGGGCUCAGACAGCAGUUCCCGUUUCUGACCUCCCAGAGCUCCUACACAGCUCCCAGAUAUUGAAUCUCAAGCAGUAUACCUGGGAGAUGCCUCAAAAUCAGAGGUUCAAGCGGGAUGAAGUUUGGAACUUCCCAGGGAGUCAGCUGAAGCGCAGAAGUGAAGGAAAACUUUUGCAGUGAGAAGAACAUGAACUCACAGCCACCGAGGCCUGACGGGUUCCUGCAGUGAGAGCUCAGCGCACGUCCACAGAGAGAGAGAGGGGAGAUGUGGGAAUUGGAAAACCAGAAACUUCCAGAGACACCAAAUGAUUUGAUCUGCAGUCUGGGAAGAAGCUUGGAUUGAUGUAAAAAUACAAUACACAGGCAUUAACAGAAAAAUAAUACAUAAAAUAAUUAUGUUUGUGUGGUUGUAAGAAAGAGCAUGCCUUAAGUAAGUGAGGAACUGUGAAGGUGAGGUGGUGAAGGGUUUAUAAUGUGAGGGUGGGGUUGUAAGUAAACAGAGUUUAGAAUUAGAAGCAUCUGUGUGCAAGUGAGACAAGCCUAUUGAGCAAAAGUGUGCACAGUGCAGCAGAAUUAAGUAAAGGUCAUAGGUUAGAAAAGCAAAAUAAACCCUGUGGCAGCUGUCUGUGGGUUAGAAAGUUAUAAAUUGCCUUGUAAUGAAGAAACUCUUGAACUGUAGCAAACUACUUACUCUUGUAAAGUCUCCUGGCCUCUGAGGCUGAUGUUCAUCUGAGCAAUAAACCCUUCUCACCCAGAGCCAGGGCACUGAGGCUGAUGUUGGUGUGAGCAAUAAACCCUUCUCACCCAGAGCCAGGGCACUGAGGCUGAUGUUGGUGUGAGCAAUAAACCCUUCUCACCCACAGCCAGUGCCAUGCCCUGGUUGCUGACAAUGGUGGCUCUGGGCAGGGCUGUCUCUGUGUCUCUGCCAGAACACAGGGCUGGGGCUGUGUCACAGACAUCUUUUAGGAAAAAUCCUUUCCUUAGAAUUUUUCCUCCUGAGAAGCUGAGAGGCCUCAGGAACAAAAUGCAAACAAUGGUUAUCUGCUGCUGUGGGAUGCAACAGGAGCGUCUGUGAUUGGUCUCAUGUGGUUGUUUCUAAUUAAUGGCCAAUCACACUCAGCUGGCUCACACUCUCUGUGCCAGCCACAAGCCUUUGUUAUUCAUUCCUUCCUUUUCUACUCUUAGCUGGCCUGCUGAUGAGAUCCUUUCUUCUAUUCUUUCAGUAUAGUUUAAUGUGAUACAUACCAUAAAAUAAUAAAUCAGCCCUGUGACCCAUGGAGUCGGAUCCUGGUCCCUUCCCUCACCCUGGCCCCUGUGAGCAGUCCCAGGCUGGGCUGGCAGCAAUGGCAUCCCCAGGCAGUGAAUGCAGCCCAGAGGACAAGAGGAGCCCUGUGUGCCCCUGACUCACCCACAGCAGGGCAGGGCCUGAGCCCUCCAGGGCAGAGCCUGUGCUGGGGCCUCUUGCCUGGGGCUGCUCAAACACCAAAGCUUUUGGCAAAGGUGGCAGGAGGUUGGUGAUUUGUCCUGGCCUGAAAGAGAGGAGGAAAAGAAAAUUAUUGCACUGUGGAAGUCAAAGGAUCCAGCUUUCACACUUCUGCUCUGAGGGCUCACUAUGGGGUUUUAUCCAUGAGAGGUGACACCAAUUCAAACAUAUCAGUGCCCUUUGCCAGCAUUUCUAUUCCUAACCAUUUCAGACAUUAAAAGGAAGCUCAUUUUUCUUAUUGCAA